RNAcentral lists this long non-coding RNA (891 nucleotides) under Panax ginseng (ginseng). RNAcentral describes it as "long non-coding RNA (PGIN_LNC004217)". The record is from RNAcentral. Lineage: Eukaryota; Viridiplantae; Streptophyta; Magnoliopsida; Apiales; Araliaceae.
CACCUUAGCCAAAAAUUCAUUUACGAAUGUUUCAAUUAGAGAUGUUCAUGCACAGGUGUUUCAAUCAUGGACAGAAUAAAUGAAUCAAAAAAUUAAUUGAGCAGUUUAAAAGUUAAAACAGUAAAGAGGCAAACCAAAUCAUUCAGUCGAUACUCCCAGUCUCAUUCUCUGCAGUGCCGAAACCCCAAAUCGCAUUACUCUCUGCCUGCCCAAUUGCGUCUGCACCUCCGGCCUCUCUGCAUCUCUGCCUCCGUUCCACUGACUAUUGGUACGUCAAUUGUUUUGGUUGUUUGUUCUUCAUUCCGCGAAUUAAGGCUAGGGUUUGAACAUGUCUAUGGGCAAUUUAAAAAUAGGCAUGAACGGUGGUCCUCAUCGCUCUUCACACACCAUUUUACGUGCUCGAAUUGUUCAGACUCACGAUGAACUUGGAAUUGUCAGUCCACGGAGGCUUCUAAGGAUCAGAGGUGAAGUAGGAACCAAAUUUGCAGACGUGUAUGUGUUAUUUUCUAUCUAUUUCUCUACAGUGUUUUAAUUUAUAUAGGUUUAGGUUGUACGUUGUAAUGCAGCUUCUUUGAGGUUACAAGUCGUCUUUUUGUAAUGUUUAUUAGGUACUAUGUUUCACCAUCAGGCAAGAAACUUCGAUCUAUGAUUGAAAUUCAAAGGUAAUAUUCUCCGCUACUUGUUAAUUUGAAUAUUGCAGUUAGUUCCUACUUUUUCUAAUCUGUAGUUCUUUCCUUUUUUUCUUUUAUAUAUUUCAAAUUAUAUGAAAUUAUAAAUUAACUUUUUAGUCUAUGUAUUUCAUAUCGAAAAAGAAGUGCACUUCUGGCUGUACCCAUGGUUAGCACAAAAAAUUUAGCUUUUCUUUUGGCCGGGCAAUUUUCUCUUAAGGAC